Molecule: RNA transcript, 3822 nt
Organism: Aquila chrysaetos chrysaetos
Lineage: Eukaryota; Metazoa; Chordata; Aves; Accipitriformes; Accipitridae
Gene name: complement decay-accelerating factor-like
Exons: 16
Source: RefSeq, a predicted model, not a curated record
AGCUCAGCCUUUGGCUCUCCCCAUAAGUCCUGGGGGCAGGGAUCCCAGAGCGGCUCUGCUUUCCCACGCAGUCACAGAGCCAAAGCAAACUGAUCCUGUGCCUGGCUGGGCCCAAGGACAUCCCCGAGCCCCUGCGGGCAGUGCAGUGUCUCCUUCGAAGAGUUUUGUGUCUAACUGGGAGAGUUACAGUGGAAAUGCUGGUAUCCCUGCAGUCUUGUUUUGUGCAUAGGUGUUAAUAGAAACAGCUUAAUUAGCAGCUUCAAAGUGGGGCUGAUUAACAGCCCUCUGGUCUCCCAUGCACCCCUCAGGCUGGAGGAAAGCCACCUUCUCCUCUCUUUUUGCAGAAAAACCUCUCUUCACGGAGGUCUGCUCCUAGGGUCAGGCAGGUGACAUUUGAAGACAGUUUGGGGGGUCGGGUGGGGGGGCUGGUGCCCCCAAGCUGUGCUGCACUGGGGUCCCUGGGCCAGACGCUGUGGGAGAGGGCAGGAGGCACCGAUGAAGAUGCAGCUCUCGUCCCCGCACGCAGCAGAGCCAGUGCUGGGGGAUGAAGGGGACCUUCUCCACUCCUCCCGGCUUUGGGGCAUGCUGGAGGGUUCGCAGCCGGAGCCGACAAGACCCAGAUGCUGCCCUUCUUGGUUUUUUUUUUUUUUUUCUUUUCCUUUGGGACUUGAUGGCUUUGGAGGCAGGGGUGGCUUUAGUGGAAGGUGCAGAGAAGUGAUUUGAAGGAGAGGCGGAGGCGGUGGGUGUCUGGAGAGCCCCACUGCAUUCCUCCGGAUGCCGAGCGUGCCUCUUGGAGCAGGCGUGAGGAGAAGCGUGUGCUCCAAUUCAAACUCACUCCCGCUUCCAGCCGCGGGUUAAGACUUUCAUCAGAGCAUUUCCCCGGGAUGAGACCGCAGGGAGGGGAACGGGGCUCCACGCCUCGGGAGCCGCGCGCCCCGCGGCCGAAGGAGCUGCCGGCGGCAGCCGCCGCCUCGCACUGCCCACGGGUGCCAGCAGCACCCACGCGUGCUCUUGAGCAAGCUCUCCCCCUCCCUGCGGCUCCGGGAGUGUCUCCCCUCCCUCUUUCCUCCCUGUGCUCCCCGCCCCGCAGAGGCUCCCUGCCUGCGCUGCCCGAUCCUCUGCCCGAUCCUAUCCCGCCCGCUCCCGGCAGCGAUGGGCUCCGGGCUCCGCCGCUCGCUCCUGCCCACGCUGCUGCUGGUGUUGCUGGUGCUGCUGGUGUUGCUGGUGCUGCUGCCCGCGGCGUGGGGUGACUGUGGGCCGUUGCCAAAUAUAAGACACGCGGAGCCCCCGGAGGACGACAAACAUCGGGGAAGCUUCAGGGUCGGCUCCAAAGUAAGGUACAGCUGCCUCGGAGAUUAUGUGAAACGCCCCUUGCUGUCAGAUACGAUACAGUGCCUUGCAAACUCCCAGUGGUCCAACCUCCCGGAGUUUUGUGGUCGUAGCUGUCCCGGCCCGCCACGUGUGCGUUUCGCUAGAAUAUCACAAGAAGAUGGGAUGCAGAACUUUUAUCCUGUUGGUGUCUGGGUGAAGUAUUAUUGUCGCUCAGGCUAUGAGAAUACCACAGACCGGCUGCCCACCAGCACUUGUUUUGACAAUUUAACAUGGUCAGAAGUCCCCGAGCUGUGUCAGAGGAAAUCUUGUGGUAUUCCAGCAAAUCCAGAACAUGGCAAGGUUAUUACAAAUGAUCAUCUGUUUGGUGCAAAAGCAGAUGUAGUUUGUAACCACGGGUACACAUUAAAGGGAGUGUCACGUGUCAUCUCGUGUUCCCUAAGGGGAGAUGGAGUUGCCUGGAGUCAACUUCCAGCUUGUCAGGCUAUUUCUUGUCCUCCGCCUCCAGCUAUUCCCGACGGGAAGCACGACGGCAACGGUACGGAGUUCACGUACAACUCAGUCGUGCUGUACACGUGUGACCCUGGGCUCCAGCUUGUGGGAAAUGAAACUCUGCGUUGUACAACAGAGAACAGCGUCGAUGGCAUCUGGAGUAGGUCUCCUCCCGAAUGCAGGGUUAGGACUACAGCAGUGACAAACCACACUGAACCCCUGGAAGAGAAUAUAGCAGAGAAUCGUUACUGGCUAGUAGGUAUCCUCAUCCCUAGUUGCAUUGUUGCCGCAAUAGCCCUUGGAAUUCUAACUGGCAUCAUUGUGAAAUGGAAAGACAAUAAAAAACACUCUUAUAAUAUGCAUUUACAAAAGCACGAGAUGAAGGGAAGGGAUCCACCGAUGCACCCAAAGAUAACAGACGACGAGAAGCAGCCCGUGCUGUGGCGUUCCUAUUUUUGCCACGCGACGAGUUGCCACGUGUGUCCCACCUGCGAAGAGCAGCUGCACGCCGCCCUGGCCCCCCGCGCCGAGCCCGCGCGCGGCGGCUGUGCCGUCUGCGAGGACUGGCUGAGCGCCCGGCCCGGCACGCCGCGCACCGACUCGGUCCUCAGCAUUGGCGCCGGGGAGAGCCGAAGCCCGACAGGCACGAGCUCUCCUGCCAAAGCUGCAGAUGUGCUGAGGGCUGACAGCACAGGCGAAGCUGUUCCGGAGCGGAGCGAGGCAGAGCAGCCCAUGGACCACGAAAGCAACCAUCACGUCUGUCCCACCUGUGAAAGCUGGCUGCGCGCCCACCUUGGCCAGUGCGAAAGCCGUCCUGUGGCACCCGGGGAACGGUCGGGGGGGCCCCGCCGGCAGGAUGAGGGCCCGCAGGGUCCCGUCUGCCCUCCCUGCGCCGACCGGCUGCGCCUCUCCCCCGUCCACCGCGACACGGCGAGCUGCCCCGUGUGUCCCCUGGCCAGAGAGGGGACCCCGGCUCACCUCGUCCCCCGCUGCACCCCCAGCUGCCACGUCUGCCCCGUCUGCACGGCGCCCACCCACGCGCACCUGUGCCAGGAUAAAUGGCGACAGCUGUAGCAUCCUUAGCGGCACGAAGGUGGUCGGAGAGAAGGGAGAGUUGCUACACUAACUCCUGAUGUCAGGGAUGAAGCUCUAAGUGCAAUAAGGCAACCUGAAGUCCAGUGUCUGACUUCACAAUCAAGAAUUUCUUUGUGAAGAAGCAGGAGAAUCAAACAUACUUCAAAUCCAGCUGCACGUUGGUUUAAUGCCUACUUUUUCAUUUGUUUUGCAGCGUGCCUGGCCUUUCCUGGGAACUGCGAUGACGGAGGCGAGGCACCACUGCUGGAGCGGAGCCCAUUUCCACCCCAGGCAGUAUCAGUGAGGUGUGCGCUCCUCUCCGGGUGUGACCUUCCCCUUGGCCAACCCCAAGUAUUCUUGGACCGGUCAUAUUCUGUAGCCAAAAAAACCAGACUGCAGCUCCAGCAAGGAGUUCAGAGGAUUAAACUAGCUACUCCCCACUUGGUGUUCGCUGGCUUGUGCUCCUCGUUUUGCUUUGACAUGGGGACAGAAUUAAUAGUCAUAAUACAGAAGCUGUAAAAAUUGCCUUUCUUCUUUAUUGGUGUUUGCCAAGAGAUUGAGUUUAUUGGUGUUCUGGUGGGAGACAGGCAGCGCUACAGGUAGCACAGGCAGGGGCCGUGCAGUUAUCCAAUUCUGCUGUUGUAUUUGUCACCAAACUGGGAUGCAGCACGUUUCUGUGGGCUUGUGCCGACGGGUGCAACCCCGGUGCUGCUUUGAGGAGAGGGGGAGGCAACGGCCAUCUGAGCAUCCGAGCCACCCCGUGCCCUGGCUGCCGUCCCUCACCGUCCCCUUUUGAUCGUCCCUUUGAACCUGGGGCUGGGGGCAGCAGGGGCUGUUCCGGGGGUGCCAAGCAGUCCCCCCAGGCACGCCCCAAGCCUCUACCGAGGUGACGUGGAGGGAGAGGUGUGAUGAAGAGAAGACGUAGGC